This 237-nucleotide ribosomal RNA is filed under the name uncultured bacterium. Its description in RNAcentral is "partial 16S ribosomal RNA". It matches the Rfam family "Bacterial small subunit ribosomal RNA", at positions 105 to 334 of the family's 1533-position model. The record is from RNAcentral.
CCGCACGGUGAGUAACACGUAUCCAACCUGCCGUCUACUCUUGGCCAGCCUUCUGAAAGGAAGAUUAAUCCAGGAUGGCAUCAUGAGUUCACAUGUCCGCAUGAUUAAAGGUAUUUUCCGGUAGACGAUGGGGAUGCGUUCCAUUAGAUAGUAGGCGGGGUAACGGCCCACCUAGUCAACGAUGGAUAGGGGUUCUGAGAGGAAGGUCCCCCACAUUGGAACUGAGACACGGUCCAA